UCACACCCCCUCUGCUGUCUUUACGCUCUCAUUCUACCUGUCUUUCACACCUGUUUUUUUCUGUUUCCCUGUCUUUCUAUCCCUUAUCUUUCUGUGUCUUUUUCUCUCUUUUUGGGUGUCUCCAGUAUCCAGGCUCAGGUAGGCAGCACCACAUCCAAGCCAGGAAUACUCUCCUUCAAGUCUUCUUCUCUCCUACCUUUCUUUCCUUUCUUCAUCAUACACAUCCACCUCCACAUCUUCUACCUCCUCCUCCUCUCUCUCUCCACUCUCCUCCUGCCUCCACACCCUGAGCGCGCCGGAGAGAGUCGCCAAUUGCGCACGGCCGAGGCGAGCAAGUGGGAGUGGACCUCUGCGAGCUUGUGUUUGUGAACGUGGAGAGGAAGAGGAGAGGAGGAGGAGGAGGAGGAGGAGAAGGAGGAGAGAAAGAAGAGCAUCAGCACAGUCCCCUGUCUCUCCUCUCUUUUUCUUCUACUUCACGCGCACUCCCACUCUGCAUGGAACAAUCCUUCCUUCAGCGCUUCUAAAUGGACAUUUCUGUGGCAACGUCUCACCAGUGAAGACAGCAGCUGCUGCCUCUCCGCUCCACAAGCUUCUACAUGCUGGAUUUAAAAACAAAGUGAGGAGAGGAGUGGAACGGGGGGAGAUCUCCUAACAUGAGUGAAGAAGCUAAGGAGAAAGCGGGCAGUGGGAAAGGAGCCCAUCGCAAGAAGAAAGGCAAAAAGUCUGACAGUAAUGCCAGUUAUCUGCGAGCAGCCCGUGCAGGAAACCUUGAAAAGGUCCUUGACUACCUCAAGUCUGGGGUUGAGAUCAACAUUUGCAAUCAGAAUGGUCUAAACGCUCUCCAUCUAGCCUCCAAGGAGGGGCACGUUGAGGUUGUUGCUGAGCUGCUGAAGCUCGAAGCUGCUGUGGAUGCAGCUACAAAGAAAGGAAACACUGCUCUGCACAUAGCCUCACUUGCUGGCCAAACGGAAGUUGUCAAAGAGCUGGUCAAUAAUGGAGCCAAUGUCAACGCACAAUCACAGAAUGGCUUCACCCCUCUGUACAUGGCAGCCCAGGAGAACCACCUCGAGGUGGUGCGGUUCCUUCUGGAGAACGGCGCCAGCCAGAGCAUGGCCACUGAGGAUGGCUUCACCCCUCUGGCAGUGGCGCUCCAGCAGGGCCAUGACCAGGUGGUCUCCCUGCUAUUGGAGAACGAUACAAAGGGCAAGGUACGCCUACCUGCCCUGCACAUCGCUGCCCGCAAGGACGACACCAAGGCCGCGGCCCUGCUCCUACAGAACGACCACAACGCUGACGUCGAGUCCAAGAGUGGUUUCACCCCCUUGCACAUCGCCGCUCAUUACGGCAACAUAAACGUGGCCACGCUACUGCUGAACAGAGGGGCUGCUGUGGACUUCAUGGCUCGGAAUGACAUCACACCACUACAUGUGGCAUCAAAACGGGGCAACAGCAACAUGGUCAAGUUGUUGCUGGACAGAGGGUCCAAAAUCGAUGCAAAAACCAAGGACGGGCUAACACCUCUACACUGUGGAGCCAGGAGCGGGCACGAGCAGGUGGUAGAAAUCCUACUAGACCGAGGAGCUCCUUUCCUGUCCAAGACCAAGAACGGUCUAUCUCCGCUCCACAUGGCCACUCAGGGAGACCACCUGAACUGCGUCCAGCUUCUGCUCCAGCAUGAUGUUCCAGUGGAUGACGUCACUAACGACUACCUGACGGCGCUGCAUGUCGCUGCUCACUGUGGUCACUACAAGGUGGCGAAGCUCAUUGUGGACAAGAAGGCCAACCCAAACGCCAAGGCUCUGAACGGUUUCACUCCACUUCACAUCGCCUGCAAGAAGAACAGAGUGAAAGUGAUGGAGCUGCUGCUUAAACAUGGAGCGUCUAUCCAGGCUGUCACUGAGUCUGGCCUGACGCCGAUCCAUGUUGCAGCCUUUAUGGGCCAUGAAAACAUUGUUCAUGCAUUGAUGCACCACGGAGCAUCACCAAACACAACCAACGUACGAGGUGAGACAGCCCUCCACAUGGCAGCAAGGGCGGGCCAGGCAGACGUAGUCCGAUACCUGCUCAAGAACGGAGCCAAGGUGGAGACAAAGUCCAAGGAUGACCAGACAGCACUGCACAUCUCCAGCCGGCUGGGCAAAGUCGACAUUGUACAACAGCUGCUGCAGUGCGGCGCCUCUGCCAAUGCUGCUACCACCUCAGGCUACACCCCUCUACACCUGGCUGCCCGGGAAGGACACCAGGAUGUUGCUGCCAUGUUACUGGAGAACGGAGCAUCACUGUCCUCCUCCACUAAGAAAGGGUUCAGCCCCCUGCAUGUGGCAGCAAAGUACGGCAAGAUGGAGGUAGCCAGCCUCCUCCUACAGAAAAGGGCUUCGCCUGAUGCUGCUGGAAAGAGCGGGCUAACUCCACUGCAUGUAGCCGCUCACUACGAUAAUCAGAGGGUGGCUCUGCUGCUGCUGGAUCAGGGAGCUUCCCCACAUGCUGCCGCCAAGAAUGGCUACACACCACUCCACAUUGCUGCCAAAAAGAACCAAAUGGACAUUGGGACCACAUUGCUGGAGUACGGCGCAGACACAAACGCUGUGACGCGGCAAGGCAUCAGCCCUAUACACCUGGCAGCACAGGAGGGCAGCGUGGACCUGGUAUCACUGCUGCUGACCAAGAACGCCAACGUCAAUGUGUGCAAUAAGAGCGGACUUACACCUCUCCACCUUGCAGCUCAGGAGGACAAAAUCAAUGUCGCAGAAGUCCUUCUCAAUCACGGGGCUGAUGUCAACCCUCAAACAAAGAUGGGUUACACACCACUGCACGUGGCCUGUCACUAUGGCAACACAAAGAUGGCAAACUUCCUGCUGCAGAAUCAUGCCAGGAUAAACGGCAAAACAAGGAAUGGGUACACUCCUCUACACCAGGCAGCUCAGCAGGGCCACACCCACAUCAUCAACCUGCUGCUUCAGCACGGGGCCUCAGCCAACGAGCUCACUGUGAAUGGGAACACUGCCCUGUCCGUCGCCUGCCGUCUCGGGUACAUCUCUGUGGUGGACACUCUGAGGCCGAUGACGGAUGAAAAUCUGACCACCAUGAGUGCAUCAGAGAAACAUAAAAUCAACGUCCCUGAGACCAUGAACGAGUUUCUCGACAUGUCUGACGAUGAAGUCCAGGCAAAUGUGCCGGAAACUCUCAAUGAGGAGUCUUUGUCAGAUGGUGAUGAAGGUGAGGAUGCAAUGACCGGGGACACGGACAAAUACCUGCGGCCUCAGGACCUCAAGGAGCUGGGGGACGACUCUCUCCCUCAAGAGGGGUACAUGGGCUUCAGCAUAGGAGCCCGUUCAGCCAGCCCUAGAAUCAGCCUCCGCUCCUUCAGUUCGGAUAGGUCCAACACGCUCAACCGCAGCUCCUUCGCACGGGACAGUAUGAUGAUUGAGGAGAUUCUGGCCCCUACAAAGGACACGCUUCAGAGUGUCUGUAAAGACAUUUCCUACUUGGUUGACCCCCUCAAUAAGCACCUGGCUGUGACCAGAGACUACAGCUCAGAGUGUAUGCGGCGCUACAGCUGGACUCCGGACACCAUGGACCAUAGCCACAACGCUGUGUCCAGCCCCAUUCACUCUGGCCUCUCCUCCCCGCUCCCUCAGUAUGACUCCAGAUUCUUGGUCAGCUUCAUGGUGGAUGCCCGCGGCGGUUCUAUGAGAGGUAGCCGCCACAAUGGCAUGCGCAUCAUCAUCCCCCCCAGGAAGUGCACAGCACCCACACGCAUCACCUGCCGCCUGGCCAAGAGGCACAAGCUGGCCUACCCACCACCCAUGGUGGAGGGAGAGGGGCUGGUGAGCCGAUUGGUGGAGGUUGGACCAGCCGGGGCUCAGUUCCUUGGUCCUGUUAUUGUUGAGAUCCCACAUUUUGGUUCCAUGCGGGGGAAAGAGAGGGAGCUGAUCGUGUUGAGGAGUGAAAACGGGGACACGUGGAAGGAGCACCAAACUGACACCAGACCAGAGGACCUUACUGAUCUGCUGGCUGGCAUGGAUGAAGAGCUGGACAGUCCUGCUGAGUUAGAGAAGAAGCGUAUUUGCCGCAUUGUCACCAGAGAUUUCCCACAGUAUUUUGCUGUGGUGUCGCGGAUUAAGCAGGAGUCAAACCACGUGGGUCCUGAUGGGGGCGUCCUGUCCAGCAGCACUGUGCCCAUGGUCCAGGCCUCUUUCCCACAGGGUGCACUCACCAAGAGGAUCCGUGUCGGCCUGCAGGCCCAGCCCGUGCCAGAUGACCUGGCGAGGGCAGUCCUUGGGAACAGAGCCACCUUCAGCCCCAUCGUCACUGUCGAACCCAGGAGGCGGAAGUUCCACAAGCCAAUCACCAUGACCAUCCCUGUCCCACCUAGAUCAGCAGAGGGACACCGAGGGGACUCUGCUCCCUGCUUACGUCUGCUCUGCAGCAUCACAGGAGGGACGUCUCCUGCUCAGUGGGAGGACAUCACAGGGACGACACCGCUGUCCUUUGUAACCGACUGCGUCUCCUUCACCACAAAUGUGUCGGCCAGGUUCUGGCUCGCAGACUGUCACCAGAUUCCUGAGACGGUGAGUCUAGCGUCUCAGUUAUACCGGGAGCUGAUCUGCGUGCCGUACCUGGCCAAGUUUGUGGUUUUCGCAAAGAUGAAUGACCCUGUUGAGGCUCGGCUGCGCUGUUUCUGCAUGACAGAUGACAAGGUGGACAAAACCCUGGAGCAGCAGGAGAACUUUGAGGAAGUGGCCCGCAGCAAAGAUAUUGAGGUUCUGGAGGGAAAGCCUAUCUAUGUGGACUGCUACGGAAACCUGUCUCCUCUGACUAAAAGUGGGCAGCAGCUGGUUUUUAACUUCUACUCCUUCAAGGAAAACAGACUUCCGUUCAAUGUGAAGAUUAGAGAUAUGAGCCAGGAGCCAUGUGGCCGCCUCUCCUUCCUGAGAGAGCCAAAAACCAGCAAAGGCCUUCCACAGACUGCCAUAUGCAAUUUGAAUAUCACACUGCCAACCCACCGAAAGGAUAUGGAGUCAGAUCCUGAUGAUGAGACUGAAAAGCCAGAACGACGUCAUACCUUUGCCUCCUUAGCUUUGCGUAAGCGCUACAGCUAUUUGACCGACCCAGCAGCGAAAACAACUGAUCGAAGCUCGCAGAGAACACAGCCUUCUGGCUACCCUCACAAACCUGUCUUUUCAACGAGAUCUUAUCAGGCGUGGUCGUCUGUUCCUGUCGCCAUCCCUGGUCAAGCCAAGUCUGGGUUUGGCUCCCUCUCCAGCUCGUCAUCCAACACGCCCUCUGCCUCUCCAUUAAAAUCUGUCUGGUCCAUCAACUCUGCCUCCCCUAUCAAGACCAACAUCCCUGGAUCUCCUGCUUCUUCUGUAAAGUCAGUUAGUGACAUGGCAUCUCCCAUCCGAACUUACAGAACCAUCUCCUCUCCUAUAAAAACUGUAGUCCAACAAGUGCAGUACCCAGGGCAGGUCACCCCUAGUCCCCUGGCCUCACCAGGCAAAAGUGUCCCAGAUUCAGUGUCUAUGAAAGGCCUGGCAGCAUUGUCUGCCAGAACCUCCCCUAUAACUGUCUCUGGAGGAGGCAGUACACUUCUUGAGAGAGCGUCCAUAGGCAUGACUCCACCAUCCUCUCCCAAAUCCUCUCUGAGUAUGUUCAGUUCACCUCUGCCAUACAAAACCGUUAUGGGGGGAUCUAGCAGCCCUGCGUCCUCUUCACCCAUAAAAACAGUCCCUGGUCUCUCCUCUGUUCGUUCCUUUGCCUCUGAAGUCACUGGCCCAGCAAGAAACCUGUUUUCCUCGCUUACAUCACCUCUUAAAUCCAACAACGCUCCAAGUACUGCAGCUCUGAUCAAUGGAACUGUGUCCCCUACACAGUAUCGCUCUUCUUCCCCAACAUCUCUUCUCCCGAGCAGUCUACAAGAGCGAAUACAAGCAACCACCAAUGCCGCAACGACAAGUGUCAAUGCAGCCUUUGACGAGGUUGAGAAAACGUUUAAUUCUUGUUCUGCAGGCUAUGGCACAUUGAAGUCCAUGUCCUCUUCAGCAUCCUCCUCAUAUCAGUCUAUUAGAUCAUCAGCAUCCAACUCCCUCUACCCAUCCCUCAGAUCCCCUCCUAGUGCCACGACUGCUGUAACAUCCAGUACAGUGACUGUUCCAGUGUACUCUGUUAUUAAUGUGCUGCCAGAGCCCCAGUUCAAAAAGCUACCUGAGGUGUCAAAGUCAGCUGCUGCCCUUCUGUCCCCAAGGAAGACUGUUCCCGCAGAAGCAAAUGCUCACUUGCAGUCUUCCUUUGCAAAAACUCUUUCCCCUAUCAAAACCCCCCUUUUUGCUGCUGGCAUGAAGUCAAACACCACAUCACCGCUGUCAUCCAGCCAAGAGAUUCUAAAGGAUGUGGCUGAAAUGAAGGAGGACUUGAUACGAAUGUCAGCCAUUUUGCAGACAGAUCCAAACUCCACAGCCAACAAAGGAUUUCAGUCCGAUUCUCCUAAAGAGGCUAAGCUAGAGGAUGAAGAACCAUACAGGAUUGUUGAGAAAGUAAAACAAGAUUUGGUCAAAGUGAGCGAAAUACUUGCAAAAGACGCUGCAAAGGACGGUAGAGUUUCCCUGGCAAGAGGUUCUUUGGAUGAUAUACAUUUCUCAAAAGUCCAAGUUGAACAACCACCAAGCAACUGGAGCUACCCUCCGAGAUAUGAGACUGUGGUUCCUCAAGCCAAAUCAAAAACAAUACCAGAUAGAGAUUUUAAUCUUUCAAAAGUGGUUGACUACCUGGUCAAUGAUGUUGGUAGCAACUCUUUCUCCAAAAUGCAUGAGACAAAGUCCAAAGCAGAUGAGGGCAAGAAAGAAGGAGAGGGCAAGGAGAAACAGAAACGGGUUCUAAAACCCACUAUAGCAGUUCAGGAGCACAAGCUUAAAAUGCCACCAACAACAAUGCGCUCUUCAGCUUCAGACAAAGAGAUCAGUAAAGUAGCAGAUGCCCUCUUUUCAGCAGAUACUGUUCUAGAGUCUCCUGAUGAUAUUUCACAUGAACAGGACAAAAGCCCCCUCUCAGACAGUGGCUUUGAGACCAGGAGCGAGAGGACACCCUCCGCCCCUCAAAGUGCAGAAGGCAUGGGUCCCAAGGCCCUUUUUCAGGAUAUCCCAGUUCCCCCAGUGAUCACUGAGACUAGGACUGAGGUUGUUCAUGUUAUCAGGAGUUAUGAGCCUCCAGAGGAUAACAAACAACCUGCAAUGGAAGAUGCACAUCCUGUCAGAUAUAUUGAUUCAGAAUCUAAAGGGCAUCUAAAUCAGACUCCAUCAACUCCUGAUCAAAAUAAAUGCUAUUCAAUGAAAGUCAGCCCUGAUGAUGAUCCGAUGGGAAAAGGGAUGAGGGUAAAAGAGGAAACUCACAUCACAACCACCACUAGGAUGGUUUACCACAAACCAUCUGCCAAGGAAGCUGCAUCAGAGAGAUGUGAAGAGACAAUGUCUGUGCAUGACAUAAUGAAAGCAUUUCAGUCAGGAAAGGACCCUUCAAGAGAACUUGCUGGACUGUUUGAACACAAGUCUGGCAACGAGGAGACAUCACAAAGAGUCCUCGAGGACAUCAACUCCAAACCUAAGGUUGAACGGAUAAUUGAAGUUCAUAUUGAAAAGGGCAAUAAAACAGAACCAACAGAGGUCAUCAUCAGAGAGACAAAAAACCACGCAGAGAAGGAAAUGUAUUACUACCCAGGGAAUAGACAAGAAGAGGAAGAGCCUGAGGAAUCUCUUCCAGUGUACCUCGACUCUCCCAGGGUGAACACACCCAUGUCACAGGAGGAAGACAGUCGCCCCAGUUCAGCCCAACUUAUGGCAGAUGACUCUUACAAAACACUAAAGCUACUAAGCCAGCAAUCUGUAGAGUACAAUGAGGAUGAAUCAUCAGAGCUUAGGGGAGAAUCUUAUAAUUUUGCGGAGAAAAUGUUACUCUCUGAGAAAUUUGACCAGUCUCAUUCUGACACAGAGGAAUAUCUGAGAGAUAGGUCUCGCUUCCACUCACCAGACAGAAGUAGUCACAGUGAAGGUAGAUCAGGUGGGCCAAGGACAGAGUAUGUUUUUAGGUCAUCAAGAAAUGUGUUUGACAAAUCUGGAAGAAUGGCCAACGUUGAUGAUUCCUUUGACAAACUGACACUCUUGCAGUACUCUUCUGAGCCUGGUAGCCCAAAACAGUCUGUUUGGAUGCGUGUGUCAGAUGAUGCCCAGAAUAAGGACAGCAGACAGAUAGUGUAUGAGGACAGGGUGGACAGGACUGUAAAAGAGGCAGAGGAAAAGCUGAGCGAGGUGUCUCAGUUUUUUCGUGAUAAAACAGAACAACUCAAUGAUGAACUCUCAUCCCCAGAGAAGAAAUCUCGUAGGCCAGACUUUAGGGAAUCACGAUCAGGGCCUAGCUCUACACACAGCAGUCCAGAGAGGUCAGCUUAUCGCGGUGGGGGGAGUGGGGAGGAGUGGAGCAGAGAAAGGCUACGAGACAGGUUCAGCUCUGGUGAUAGGAAAUGUGCAAGCCUACCCAGCAGUCCAGAGAGGAGAGUAUUGCUGCAAUACACUGAUUCAGACCGAAGACAGCAAGAUGAUAAAUCAAAAGGAAGCACAGGUGAAAGCCCAAAGCCUUUUCAAAUGUCUUCCUCCAAAGUGAGUGCAGUGAGGCUAAAGUUUGAGCAGGAGGCUCAAAGACAGGACAGGAGUCAUCAGGCAGAUCAGAAUUCAAAUCCUCCCAUUAGGAAGCUCCAAGAGAGUAAGCUACCUGUGUAUCAGGUGUUUGCUGGUUCAAACCUUCCAAAAACACCGGACCGUCCAGGAAACCAGAGAAGAAGUUUAGAUAGCCAGUCUGGUAAGUUCUCACCAAAGCACGAGACCAGUCAAAAAGAUCAGGAAGAAAAAAAGGUGUUCAAGGCAUGGGAGGGCCAAGACUAUGGAAACUAUAAACCCCAGUCGCCCAAACUACCACACUCCUUAAUCAGUGAUGGCAAUAAUAGUGAUCCCCAAAGACAAGAAACCACUAAGAAAAUAAUCUACACAGAAUUUGUUGUCCGAGAAAGUCCAAAUAGUAACGAUAGUCUAAAAAAAAACUCGGAAUCGCAAAAUCCUGUAAGAAAGCCAUCUAAUUUCUCUGAAAAUAACAAAUCCACCAGUUUAAAACUAGAUUCCUCAGUUGAAUCGUGUGAGAGGACAGGGUCUCAUAUACCUACUUUAGCUAGAAGUCGCUUACACAGUAGCUCUGAAUCCAAUAAGUCCACUCGUGGAUCUUCCGUAGGAAAAUCUUCAGACUCAUCAGACUGCAGUGUGUCAAAUGUAGUGUGUAAUGGGGUUGAUAGUGACCAGGUAGAGUAUUUGGAAGAAGUCACUCCUGUUGUUGUCACAGAGGGCUUCAAGGAUAUUAAGCCUUUACCUGUGUAUGUUAGCAUCCAAGUAGGAAAGCAAUAUGAGAAAGAAACCGCAUCAGGGCAACUCGGAACUUACAAAAAGAUAGUGAGCCAUGAGAGUAGGACAGUGCAUGAGACUAGGGGUGCUUUUUACACUGUCAAGCAAAAGCAGUCUCCUUCUCCUCAAGGAAGUCCAGAAGAUGACACCCUAGAACAAGUGACUUUCAUGGACAGCUCUGGGAAAAGUCCUGUUACUCCUGAGACCCCCAGCUCAGAGGAAUUAAGUCUAACCUCAAGAACACCAGACUCUGUGAUAGGCUUCAUGCCUGGCAUGCCAAGCCCUAUCCCAGAGGAGUCUGAGGAGGAGGAAGGGAAGACCUUCAUCUACAAGGAACCCUCAAAAGAAAAACCCAAGCCAGCUCCCUCAGGGAAUCAAAGCAAAAAACAGGAUGCACAGAGACCGAAGUCAAAGGAGAAAAGAGUGGCCUACAUAGAGUUUCCACCCCCACCUCCCCUAGAGACAGAGCAGUCUGACCCUGAAAAACGAGGUUCAUGUGCUUCCUCUGAGGCAGAGACAGAAAUGAUGGAGGUGAACCUCCAAGAGGAGCACGAUCGGCAUCUCCUCGCCGAGCCAAUCAUCAGGGUCCAGCCUCCAUCCCCUAUUCCCCCAGGAGCUGAAAACAGCGACUCUAGUGAUGAUGAAUCUGUUUUUCAUCCCAUUCCUAUCAAGAAGUACACAUUCAAAAUGAAAGAGGAGGGAGAGAAACGGCCAAAACAGAAAAGGUCAGAGAAAAAUGCAAAUAAAGAGUCUGGGCUCAACGGUGUCGUGAAGGGGGAAGAUGCUGACUUAGAACAAAAUGGCAAUGACCAGUCAAUCACUGACUGUUCUAUAGCCACCACUGCUGAGUUCUCCCAUGACACAGAUGCAACUGAAAUAGACUCUUUAGAUGGGUAUGACCUGCAGGAUGAGGAUGAUGGACUGAGCGAGGACCCUAAAACCUCUAGUCUGUCCAAUGAUGGAAAAACAACAGACCGCUCAUUUAGCCAAUCCAAGCUUGAAGUGAUAGAAGAAGAAAAAUGUGAGGAAGGAGGGGAAAAUGGAAAGAACAAAACAAGCACAUCCUCAGCAAAAUCUAGUGGAGAGGAAAAAGAUUAUACCCUUGAAGGAAGGCAUCCAGAAAGGCUGGGCUUUGGGGAGAACUACUUUGGCUACCAACUGGAAGAAGAGCUGAAUUCAACUUUUAAAACUGUUGCCACCAAAGGCUUGGACUUUGACCCCUGGUCUACCAAAGGGGGCGAAAGCGAUGGAGUCUAUGAGUCCAAGGCAAAAGACGAGGACCCCAAGCCCUUUGGUUUAUCGGUAGAGGACAAAUCACAGGCUACAACUCCUGACACAACACCCGCUCGAACACCGACUGACGAGAGCACACCGACUAGUGAGCCUAAUCCCUUCCCUUUCCAUGAAGGGAAGAUGUUUGAGAUGACCCGCAGUGGUGCUAUUGACAUGAGCAAGCGGGACUUUGUUGAAGAGAGGCUUCAGUUUUUCCAGAUUGGUCCCCAAAGCCCUUGUGAGAGAACAGACUUGCGGAUGGCUAUUGUUGCAGAUCACUUGGGACUUAGCUGGACAGAGCUGGCUCGGGAGAUGAACUUCACAGUGGAUGAGAUCAACCACAUCAGAUUAGAGAACCCCAACUCUCUAACAGCACAGAGCUUCAUGCUACUUAAGAAAUGGGUCAGUCGGGAAGGGAAAAAUGCCACAACGGAUGCCUUAUCUACAGUGCUGACCAAAGUCAAUCGGAUGGAUAUUGUGACUUUACUGGAGGGCCCAAUAUUUGACUAUGGUAACAUUUCAGGCACGAGAUGUUUUGCCGAUGAUAACGCUGUAUUCCGGGAUCAGGCUGAUGAUUAUCAGAGCAUUCUAGCGGAGCUGCAGUCCCCAGCUGCACUGCACUCUGAUCCCCACUUCCUGGAGCCCGAACUUCCUGUCACCCCCAACCCUUCCCUUGACCCACACCACCAGCAUCACCACCAUUACCCAGAACCAGACACCCCUUUGCUGGCUGACUCCCAGCAGCCUCAGCCCCUGCCCUGGAGCCCAGAGAUAGAGCCUGGUAGCAGAGAACCCGACAGCCCCCCUAGGAGUCCCCCAAGACCCUGUGAGCUUGCCCUUUCCGUCCCGGUAUUUGAACUCCCAGAUCCUGUUCCUUCUACGGUCAGCAAGCCCCACAUCGCUCUUAAUGAUCAGCUGCUUCUGAGCGAGGAGGAGGACAGAUCCUAUAAAGAAAUGGAGCUGAGCCACAGGCCACGGUCACGCUCUUUCCCUGCCACGUUUGACUCAGACAUCGACAUGGCUUUCUCCACAUCCUCCCCUUCACUGUCAUCAAUAUCAUCCAUAACUCCUUCAUCACCUGACAGAGCACAAUUGACAAUCAGAAGAGCGCAGAUGGGCGCUCUGAAUGGGGUACAGGAGGUUGUAGAUUGGAAAGGAAGUGAGAAGAAAGUGCCAGAAGAAAUAGAGAAGGUUGCAGAGAUGGUUGCAGCAGAGUUAGCAGAGGGAAAUGACUUAGUGGAGAAGUGGGUGGAACAGGACUUAAUUAAAAAGGUGGACAGAAAGUGUGAGAUGGUAACUAAAGAUAGGCCAAAGACGGCAGAAGAAAAAAACAUUGUAGUGGAACAGAAGGAUGGAUCUGCAGAAGAAGAGAAAGAUUUGGCAAAUGCGCAGCAAGUUGAGAAUAAGGAGGAGGUAGAAGAGGUAAAAGAUGUGCAGAAUAUGUCAGAAGAGCAGCAUUAUAUGAUAGAAACUGAGCAUGAAGUGGGAAAAAGUGAUGAAAUAGAAGCAGAAACUUGCAAAGAGAGUAUUAAUGAAACACCUGAGGCUCAAAAACUUGACUUGAGCAGCGAAGAAAGGGUCUGUAUGGAAGACAGAAAAGAUGACACUGAUGGAGAGGUGCAGUGUAAGGGUGAAGAAGGGUUCUGUGGCAGCAAAAGGGAGAUUUACGAGGACGAGGAAGCCAAGGACGAAGCUGUACGUCCUCUCUUCUUUCAGCCUUGGGUUGAGGCACUUGAGGAACACCAGCCGAGGGUUUCUGACUCCAGUGAGGAGGAGGAAGACAAUGAGGAGGGGAGAGACAAAGAAAUCACAGAAGAGGCAUUAGGAUCUCUGUGGGAGGAGGUGAAGAAAGAAGAAGGCUCAGAGGAAAAUGAGGAGGAUAAAGAGGUGAUCAAGGCCAGUGUUGAGGAGACUCUCCAUCAGGUUGAACAGGCAGAAAAAGACGUGUGUUCACUUUCAGGUUGGCACAGUGAUUCAUCCAGUGUCAAUGUGGAACCACCAACACCAGGCCGCAGCGUCAGCUCAGACCUGCUCGACAGGCGGGAAAGCCAAGAGAACUCAAGUGACUCCAUCACUUCCUCAUCUAGGGGCGAAUCAGGGAGGUCACGACACAACGGCAGCAACUCAAAACACUCACCUCAGGGCGGCUCAUCUGAAUCAUCAAAUGGCAAAAAGGAAGAAGGAGCACUGGUGUCAGAGAAAAAAGUCCAGCGUGUUAGUGUAGAUUCUGGUUCAGAGGAAGAACAGACUGUAACCACUAGAAUCUUCCGACGCCGUCUCAUUUUAAAGGGAGAAGAAGCGAAGAAUAUCCCAGGUGAGACUAUGACAGAGGAACACUAUGUGGACCGAGAUGGUAACCUCAUCAGUAGAAAAGUAAUCAGGAAGGUCAUCCGGCGGGUGUCUUCUCCCACGCCAGAUAGCCAAGGAGGAGACAUGUGGCUCCGAGACCUUCAGCACAGUCCCGUUCUGCAGGAGGAUGGCCAAGAGGUUGGCAUGAAGAUCCCCCUUUUAUUGUCUUCCUGGAUUCCAAGUCUAACCUGUAUUAAGUUAUUCCUCUGGCAGAAAAGAGAACAUGAUUGGUGGAAAAACACUUGUAGAGAAAUUAACACAAAAGUUCGAUUUAAGGCUGCACUGGGCAAGACUUGAUGUGCAAACCAACAUACAGAUGAGGUUGAAAUAAUUAGCCCCCCAAUAUAAAUUUCAGUUAUUCCAAAGUAUUUUCGGAGUGCUGCUGAACAGAGCAAGGAUUUUUUAAUACAGCUUUUAUACAUCCUAGUUUUAUUGUGGAUGCUUACAUAUUUUUUCUUUCCACACAGUAACAAAACUAUUUCACAAAAAAUAAAACUACCAGGGUCAGAAUUAUUACCCUCCUUUAAGACUGACCUUUUUGAGCCAUAGCACAAACCACCGCUGUGAAAUAAUGUGUAAUGCUCAAAACUUGUAAAAUCAAGGUAAAACUGAGGAUAAUCUUCCAAUUUACACACUGGAUAAGAAUUUUGGUAAGGGUUUUAGCCAUCACUUGAGAAAGCAUCAUGGCAAAGAUAAAAUAAAUCAGUUUAGACUUGAUAAAAAUAAUUCUUGAUGCUCACAAAGCAGCAGAAGGAUAUACAAAGUUAUCACAGCAUUUCCAAGUGUCAAAAAUUGGCAUUAGGAGUAUAAUUGAGAAAUUCAAAGAGAGCCACACAGUUCAAAAAAAGCCUGGCAGAGGAAGGAAGAGAAAGAUUUCAAAUAUUUUGGAAAGAAAACUAGUAAGAGAUUUUUCCAAAGACCCCAAAACAACUGCCAAAACACUAGUGAAUGACUUAGCCAUGUCAGGAAUAUAGUUUCAAAGAAGACCAUCACUAGAGCCCUGUACAGGAAUGGGCUGAAAGGUUGCAAACCAGAAAAAACUACUUCUGCAGAAGAGACACCUUAAAGCCAGACUGAAGUAUGCUAGGGCAACCUGGAGAAAGAUUUUGCUUACUGGAAGUGUGCCCUUUGGUCAGAUAAGACUAAACUAGAGCUCUUUAGCCAGAGACAUUGCUUGUAUUUGGAGAACGAGGGAAGAGGUGUAUAAGAGAGGGAAGGGGGGGCUUUAUUGUGUCUGGAAAUGGGGAUCUUGUAAAGGUGGAAGAAAUCAUGAAGUAAAAAGGAUAUGUGAAGAUUUUGAAAGAAAACCUCAAGUAGUCAUUAGUAAAACUGUGUCUGGGUCAUUUCUUUGUCAGUCCAACACAACAACAACCCCAGCAGGAGGAGCUAGAGAGAUUCACCAAGGAAGAAUGGGCUGGGAUUCCUUAGGAGACAUGUCUUAGACAUGUUGAAAACCACAAUAAAUGACUGCAGGCUGUUAUCCAGCAAAAAGGAGACACAACUGCUAAUAAGUUACACCCUGGUAGUUUUUUGCUUUUUUGUGUGUGAAAUAAUUUUGUUUUUGUGUGCAAGGUAAAUAAUGUUAGCAUCCCAAAUAAAACUAGGAUGUUGGAAAAGCUGCGUUAAAAAGAUUCCUUGCUCUGUUAAACAGCGCUUAUUUGGGGAAAAACUGAAAAUUUCAUAAGGUGGCUAAUAAUAUUGACCUAAUCUGUAUGUGAUUGUUCAAAUACAUAGCACAUUAACAACAUGUUUUGUUAGAAUUAACAUGGGAAUUUAUUAUGAAAAUUACAAGAAAUGUAUGUAAAGUUCAUUGCAUAUUGACUAUAUUAUGUGGUCAACGACAUAUUUUAUUCUUUAGCCAUAACAAGAUGAUCAUUACCUUUAAACACUUGUCUCUGAGCUACACUGAAACGUGCAGAAACACACUCUUUCAUUAUCAUGCAUUUCAACAAAGUACUAUUUCUAACACUGAAGGAGGAUAGUUUACAGAUAUCUCAUGAUACUUUAAGGUCUUGAAACCUUAAAGUACGACCUUUUGCUUAACCAGCGCAGCUUUAAGUCAAACACGUUUAAACAGGAUUGGUUAGAUAUUUUAUUACGCCAUCUUCUAUGGAAGCAGGUGAAAUGUUGAUUAAACCGGAUUAAAAAUUGUCCUCAUUAUGUCUCUUCUGGGCAAAAAUACUAUAUAAAUAAAUAAAGUGUUCAUUUGAAGUGCCUGCUUGCAUGUUUUGUUUUGACACUGUGUGCUGUCUAUUGUAUUGCAUAACAAAGAGGGUGCUGACUGUGUUCCUGACUGUGUGAUUUUUCUGGUCUUUAAAAGUGUUUAACCGAUUAGUCAACAGAAUGACUAAUGAGCGUCGUGAUUCUGCUGUGAAAACACAAUCUGCUUCUUUUGUUUCUAACUCCUUUCAUUAACAUUGAUCUUCCUUUUCUAGGUGUCAGAUUGCUUUGUUGUUUGGGUGCCAAUUAUUUUCCUAACACUGAACCAAUACUAACUCUUACUAGUAUCCCAUUGAUGAUCUCUCAAUGUGUGGUGACUUCUCUUUCUCAGGUUUUCACAGGUUUUGUGCAGUGGGUUGCAACUUCUACCAUGGGAACAAAAUAUCAUAUCUCAAUUAUAAUGUGUGUGUUUGUGUUUUCCAGCAAGGAGAGGGCUCAAGGAAUAGCAGGCGAAAAGAUGACAGAAGAUCAGGGGAUAAAAAGCUCCACUCAUAGGGAUGGUUGUGCUCUACCAGAUGUGCAGGAACCAGGCUAAAUGGUUCCCAGUAAGAAGUGUUCAGAAGGCUGAAGGGUUCCCGUGUGACGACUUCAGGAACAGUCCAGUCUGCAACAAUCUGCUUCAAACAAAAACAUGAGAGAAGCCGACCCUUCUGACUAAACGCAUGAGCAUGACAAACUUACCCUCCUGUCAAUCAAAGGACCGAGGGGGAGGUGGGGGUUCUCACUUUCUGACUGUGGUGGUGGACCCAUGGACAAUGAUUCUGCUUCCUGUUUUUGUGUGAAACAGUACAUGCCAUCGGUCCACUGGCGUUGUGAGGGCUUUUUAACAGAGCAUCGUUUGCUGUGAAGAAAAUAAAAGAAACAGACUCCCCUUACCGAAAACCACACAGGUGCAACUGUGACCAAAGAUGGCACAAGAGCUCGAUCCACACGGAGGGUGGAAGUAGACACAAUAACACAAAAACGGAACACUUCUGAUCCUACUUCAACACUCGCCUUAUAGUUUUUUCUUGAACCCAUUGUUGUCAAGAUGUAAAUUGUUUUGGGAUUUUUUUCUUCCUUUUUAAAACUUCAGCUAACACAAAAGCUUUUUUCUGUAUAUAAAACUACAAUGUGUAUAAUUCUUUAAAAUGGGGGUUACGUUACUGGUUGAGAAUGCACUGAGGAGAGUUACCUUUUCAAGUGCUUUUGAAAUUUAUUGAAAGGGUUCAACUUUUAAAGAUUUGAGUGUAACUUCACAGGUUCUUGUAUAUUUAAUUAUUAGAGCAGGUAUAAUGUUUGUACAUGAAAAAAACGCUGGUUUGAUUUUAACAGAGAGAACUUUCCAGAAAAUCCAAUUUCAGUAAUGGAUCUAAUCCUACAAAAAGCAGCCUUUCAGAGUUCUCAUAUUUUCAUGCAUGCUGUUCACAUUAUUUUAAGUACGAUUUUUACAAGUUUGCAAACACUGUACUUCAAUGACAAAUAAAACCCUUUAUCUGUGUACACAUAUAACCCUUACAUUUGUCACCAAUUUUAUAUUUUAAAUCCAAAAGGGGUACCAUUAAACAUUUAUCAUGUCGGAGUGAGGAUGAUAAAAGUUCUAUAGCUUCUUGAGGGUGUGAUGUCUUGUCUGUCUAUGUGAAAACAGGAGGGCAGCUUCUGCUAAGAGAACGAUUUAAUCUGAAUGUAAAUGCUAGUAGGCUGGCUCGCUGUAAAAUUAUAACUGUAUUGUGCGUAUUGGCUAUAAGGUGUAGGAGUCUCUGUACACUGUUAGACUGUUUGUAAUCAUUUUAGCAGUGUGUCAAUUUGGUUUUUCUAACGGCUGCUGUGAUAUUUAAGGAAAACUGGGGCAUUUCAUUUUGGAUUUUUUUUUUCUUUUUUUUUGGUGAACUAUUUUGUUAAUUUAAAACUUACUCACAUUAAGGACACAUAUAGACAUUAUUUGAUUGUAGCUCUAAAUAGCAUAUUGUAUGACAAAAACACUGGAUGGUCAAAAACAAUUAUUUAAACAUUAAAUAAAUUGUGUUUAACUCUUAAACUGUGUGAUCUUUUUAGGCUUGAGAGUCUGUAUAUGCAGUGUCAACUAGACUUGUUUUCACUAGAUCAUUGGCAAGAUUUUUUUUUUACUUGACAUCACAUUAGGGAUUAUCAUUGUAUUGGUUUUCAUUAGAUGCCCACGUAGUUCAAGUGUGGUGUUCUACUGGUGCAAUGACUCAGUAUGCUGAUGUCUAUGCUGUGGACAUGAAAACUAUUUUUCCUUUUUUUCGAGGGGGUUGGGAGGGUUUAAAGGAAGUCAGGUAGGGUGCUGUACAACAUCCCCUUAUACUACUAUGUCAAUCAGGGGGUAGAGGAUCCUUUGAUAUGGUUGAACUAUCAAUUUUUGUCAAUUUUGUUUGAUAUGUGUUUUCACCUGAGCAGAUUUUUUGAUGUACAAUUCUUACUAACAGAGUGAAGCCAUUGAAAUGUAACUAUUCUAGCACUUUGGUUAUUCAAGGUCUUUUAGAGGCUAUAGCAGCAAUGAUGCCACCACAAAUGUUUCAGACGUCUUUAAAAAAACAACCUAAAAAUAAAAAAAAUAAAAAUGCAUUGA
This is an RNA transcript of Cheilinus undulatus (humphead wrasse), 17844 nucleotides long. It is a transcript of the gene named ankyrin-3-like, with no coding region annotated. Lineage: Eukaryota; Metazoa; Chordata; Actinopteri; Labriformes; Labridae. The record is from RefSeq and is a predicted model, not a curated record. The transcript is spliced from 49 exons.